UAGCUCAGUUGGUAGAGUGCUUGCCUGGCAUGCACCAGGCCCUGGGUUCAAUCCCCAG
This 58-nucleotide transfer RNA is filed under the name Marmota marmota marmota (Alpine marmot). It matches the Rfam family "tRNA", at positions 8 to 63 of the family's 71-position model. Rfam says of the family: Transfer RNA (tRNA) molecules are approximately 80 nucleotides in length. Their secondary structure includes four short double-helical elements and three loops (D, anti-codon, and T loops). The record is from Rfam by way of RNAcentral. RNAcentral also lists the same sequence under 4 other names. Lineage: Eukaryota; Metazoa; Chordata; Mammalia; Rodentia; Sciuridae.